Musa acuminata AAA Group (dessert banana) is the source of this 4564-nucleotide RNA transcript. It is a transcript of the gene named protein SHORT INTERNODES 1, with no coding region annotated. The record is from RefSeq and is a predicted model, not a curated record. NCBI's taxonomy places the organism in Eukaryota, Viridiplantae, Streptophyta, Magnoliopsida, Zingiberales, Musaceae. The transcript is spliced from 3 exons.
GACUUUACUGAUCUCCGUCCGAUUUCGAGCGUCGAAGACGAGUCAUUCAUUGACGGGGCUUUAGAGAGGCGGGGGAACCGGAAGGCGGAGGGAGAACUGAGAAGGGUAUGGGGAUCGAGGAAAGUGGUGGAAACUGGAAAUAGAAAGAGGAGAAAGUAGGGAGCAAUAAAUGGGGAAUCGAGGCGGCAGCACAGCCGUCUCCAUGGCGGCGUUGGAGCAGACUCUCUGAUUUCUUUCUCCCUUAAACUACCAUUGGUUUCGGAAUUCAAGAAAAGGGAGACUGCAAGAGGAGAAGUCAAGGAGAGAGAGAGAGAGAGAGAGGAGUCAUACAGGGAAGAAGCCGGCAGCAUCGACUGCUCCACUCCUGCUGGCUGUUGGGUGCGUUGUGGUUGCAGAGACAAAAAAGCAGCGGGACAAAAGAAGAAAGAAUAGAGCAGAGGUGGCAGUGGCCAUUCUCGCUCCGUCUUGGCUCUCCUCUUUCUUGCUCCCGCGUUCCCUCCUGAGAUCGCUGUCCCACCUCCCCUAGAUAGCAAGGAAAGGGUCGCCAGCAGCUAUGGAUCGAGUAUAACUAGUCCGGUGGGGGAGUAAUCAUGGCGGGGUUUUUUCUCGGAGGGGGCGGUGGCAGCCAGCAACAACGCGGAGAGCAGCAAGGAGGAGGGAUCCCUCCGUCGGAGAGCUUCUUUCUUUACGGCGUUCGCGGAGGCCGGGGCGAGGACGUCGCUUACACCCGAGGCUUUGAGCUGUGGCAGCACCACCAGAUCCAGCGGGAGCAGCAGCUGUACUCCACCGCGGGCUUCCCCGAUGAGCUGCCGUCCGUGGCGCCGAGGCCGGCGAGAGGAAGCCUGGGAGGCGGCAGCGGGGUGAUGAGCUGCCAGGACUGCGGCAACCAGGCCAAGAAGGACUGCGCCCACAUGAGGUGCCGGACCUGCUGCAAGAGCCGCGGCUUCCAGUGCCCCACCCACGUCAAGAGCACCUGGGUCCCCGCCGCAAAGCGCAGGGAGCGCCAGCAGGAGCUCACCGCCUCCGCCGCCGCGGUGCAGCACGACGAGCGCCACCGCGGUGGCGGCCGAUCCACGGGCGAAGGCAGCAGCGGAGGGGGCGAGCCUUCCAAGCGGCCGAGGGAGAUCACGGCCUGCACCCGACUACCAGCCGCCAUGGCUUCGACCACCACGUAUGGAGGAAGCCUGGACCCCGAGAGCUUCCCACCGGAAGUGAGCGCGCAGGCGGUGUUCCGGUGCGUGCGGUUGAGCCACGUGGACGAAGCCGACGACAUAUACGCGUACCAGGCCGCCGUGAGCAUCGGCGGCCAUGUGUUCAAGGGACUUCUCUAUGAUCACGGCCCCGAGGCCGAGUACCCAUCGUCCUCCUCCUCUCGGUACCAGCUCCACCACGGUGAAGGCUCUUCCUCCCCCGCAGCGGCUGCUGCUACUGCUAUAGUCAGUGCCAGUGCCAGUGCCAGUGCUGGAGAUGCCGCCAUUGCGACCACUGCCACUGCUGCAGCCACCGAAUUGCUUGAGCCUUACCCGACUCCCUUAAGUGCCUUCAUGGCCGGCACGCAAUUCUUCCCCCACCAACACAGACCAUAGCGGAGAAACCUACGAAGAGGAUGCCAACGCCAAGCACGUCUCCUUCACGACCACAGGUCACGUCCGUGUUAUUUAACGUGCCUCAUCUGGUCACCAAUUUUUCUUAUACCAUGCAUUCCUCCUCAUCAUCCGGCAAUUGUGUAAUCUCUCCAAAUAAUUUCAAGUUUUCUCCUUCUUGAUCACUCUCUAGCAUAGCAAACUUAGAGCAGGCACUCUUCUUGUUCCUCACCUAUUAGCAUCUUCGUCUUCCUUUUGACGUCUCGUGUUGCUCUAUCUAUAGUUUGGUCCCAAGAAGAUGGCCGUCUUUACGGGAUCUGCGGGAUAUGCUUCGGGUUCGGAAAUGGACAUGCCUGGAUUUCUGUUUCACAUUGUUUCAACCUCGGAAACUAUAACUUAGACUGCGAAGGACUUGCUUGAGUUGGUUCCAUGUGGACAUGAUGGCCAUGCAUGGAGCAAGCUGAAUCCCAAGAAGCAGAAAGCCUUUUACCACUCUUCCUCGUAGAAAUGUUUCCCUAUAGUGUAUGCUGCACCUGUGGCAAUUUGGAUCUUCCAUGCUGCCUACGGAUAGGGAUGAGCUCUAGCAUGUGUGCUCCUUCUCUCUCGAGGCUAAAGUGACUCCGAAUGGGAAAAAGAAGACACAAGAGAUCAACCUUUGCGGCUGUGCCUCAACAGGAAGUUUAUGACUUCUAAAAUUUAAAGAGCAAAAAGGAUAUUGGCCCUACGUCGCGCACAUCUUUAAAAGGCGAAAGGGUUACCGGAUAUUAUUGUUCUCAAAAUUCAGUAAAAUUGAGUAGUCCUAAGUGAAGCACAAAAUGACAUAAAAAUAGUAGAUAAAAUCAACAAAAAGGAAAUACCAGGUAAUUUUGUUUUGAAAACUCAAUACGCAUUUACUAUGAUAAAAAGAUGAAUUAGGUGAGAAAGUACUUCUCUACAAGUUUUUUGCUUGCUCUGAAAGAAUCAAACCUGUGAUCAAGGGAAACUAUGACUUGCUAAAUGAAAAAUUCAACAAUAAAUUGGGUUUCUGUAAAUUAAAUGAACAUUUCAGGCUUAAAAACUGUAUAUAUGUUUACCUUGGUGUAUGUGGGUCUGUAAGUUCUUGCUACUUUCAUGAUUAUGCUAGUUCGGCUAUGAAUGUGGAUUCAUUCUGUUUUCAUUUUUUUAUCGCCUUCUGACUACAUCUAAUUAUUUAUUUGUCAUUGAAAUCAUCUUUCCUGUGAGCUAGCAGAUCAUUUACGUGGAUGUCCUAGCUUUGAUCCUCCUCCGUCGCGACCCUCUCUACUUGUUUUUUGCGUAAUCCAUGGCUUUUGGUAUAUUAUCAAAACUUCUGAAUUCUUAAGGGUUUAGAAGCUACUUGUGACCUUGGUUGCAACUUUCUCAUGAACUUUAUAUGCUGCAAAUUAAAGAUAUAAGCCGUAGCAUUGUACACGAGUUUAUCUUGUUGCUGAUUUCGGAUGGAUACUCUUAAGCGCAUGCAAGCGAUGUUUUAUAUGUUCUUUGUAGCUAUAAAAGUAUUAGUGCAUGAUAUAGUUGAAAAGUUCCGUUUACAAACUUCUACAUUAAAUUUAGGCAUUUGAUUUGGUACUUUAAUCGAAUUAAGAUGCUACAUUAAUUGGAAAAAAGAGAAAGAAAUACUAAGUUGUUUCAGGGAAUAUCUACUGAUGAUUGAUUUUGCUUGAAGCCUUCAGUGUCUUUGUUGAGUUAAUGGCUUGGUGGGUCUGGACAUGAAUGGUUAACUAAUGUUAGAGACCUUUUUGUUUCUCUCUUUUUCGAAUAAAGAUCAUACUAGACAUUUGAUCAUUGCCAUUUUAGCUCAUGAGACUGACAGAGGGGAACACUAUUGCCGUUCAAUCGACCGAGGAUUUCAGCUCUCUCGAUAGCACCGUGUAAUGUGCCUAGUUGCGCCGGUAAAUACCAAUAUACAUAUAUGUAUGUUGAUGGUUGGUUGGUGCAUGUCACUGUCUUUUUUCUUAUUACUCUCAGGGCAUUCUACUGAUGGUAGCAUAAAUAAUGACUGCCAUGGAAUGCAUAUGAACGAUGUUAUCUUGGAAUUCAGGUUAUCUUUACAUGACUCUUCCGACCUCUCAUGAACAUAUCAAACCAUUGACAGCAUUUUACAUUUAUGAGGAAUUACACAAAUUCCUACCUGGUUACAGAAUUCUGUCAUCCUGAUUUUAUCCUACAGUCACACCAUGUAAUUUUUGGCAACAAGAUUACCUUUGCAGUGUUUCUAAAUUGUCAUUAGGCAUGUAAAAAUACUAUAGCUUCCUGUGGUGAGGGAAUGUCUCCUGGAUAAACUUGGUGUUUUGGAGAUCCCAGCUGCAGUUGUUUUCCUGUUGGUCUGCAAGAAGUAAACAGCAGAGUGCUCCAACUGUCAGAAAAUGUUCUUCUUCUGCUCUUUGUUUUGGUUUGCAAAACAUCACUUGGUAGAGAGGCUUUCUUCUCCAGUCAGGCUUUCCAUAUGGAUCAAAUUGGUGUAUGAUGUUAUUAUUAGCUAGCUCUUAAAAUGCUUUACACUAUGUGAUUAAUGUUUUGUCAUGUCAAGAUUACUGAAUUAGGUGGUGUAUUGGAUGAAAAGCAUUUGAUAAUGUAAAGGAAGGGACAAGAUUAGGUUGGAACAUGCUUUUUUGUAUGUUGUUGCUGGAAGCCUUGAGGGUUGACAUCUCAGAAUCACCUACAUAACCUAUAGUUUGUUGGAUUGUGAUGAUAAGGGGGAAUGAGAUACCAGUCUUAUCUCUGGUAGUGACUGAUCACUACCCUAAAAGCAGGUCUUCUUUUCUUGGUAGUGGAGGGGAGGGCUAAAGCUUUCCCUAUCACAAAACCAUGGUGAUGUGAAGACCACGAAGCAUUUCUUUUUCCUUUUUCUUUAUCUUCUCAAAGUACUUGUUAAUGAUGAUGGUACCAUACCAUCAAAUUCUUUCUGGUGGUAGAGUCGGUGUAACUAUCGGUGGGGGUGCAGAUGAACAGUUGGGUUCCUUUCA